UACGUAGGGUGCAAGCGUUGUCCGGAAUCAUUGGGCGUAAAGCGCGCGUAGGUGGCUUCGUAAGUCCGUUGUGAAAGUCAAAGGCUCAACCUUUGAAUGCCGAUGGAUACUGCGAAGCUAGAGUACGGAAGAGGCGAGUGGAAUUCCUGGUGUAGCGGUGGAAUGCGCAGAUAUCAGGAGGAACACCAAUAGCGAAGGCAGCUCGCUGGGACGGUACUGACGCUGAGACGCGAAAGCGUGGGGAGCGAACAGG
This 253-nucleotide ribosomal RNA is filed under the name uncultured bacterium. RNAcentral's name for it is "partial 16S ribosomal RNA". It matches the Rfam family "Bacterial small subunit ribosomal RNA", at positions 524 to 776 of the family's 1533-position model. The record is from RNAcentral.